UAGAGAUCAUUGGGACUCAUAUAUGAUGAUUUUAGACCUUGUGGACCAAUAUUUGAUUGUGCUCUUAGCCAUGAGGGUCUUAAACCUUAGGUGUGAACUUGCUAGAUCAAUGGUAAUCAUGCCCUACCUACAAAAGAGUUAGGCAAAUACAAAGACAUAUUUUUUGUGUUUUUGUUAUUAAAAUGACAAUAUACAAGUAUGAUACAAUCACAUGAUGCUCGGUGAUCUCUCCCAAAAC
Molecule: long non-coding RNA, 238 nt
Filed under: Lathyrus oleraceus (garden pea)
Lineage: Eukaryota; Viridiplantae; Streptophyta; Magnoliopsida; Fabales; Fabaceae
Description: Pisum sativum (pea) long non-coding RNA (PSAT_LNC013603)
Source: RNAcentral